RNAcentral lists this transfer RNA (87 nucleotides) under Spirochaetaceae bacterium. RNAcentral's name for it is "tRNA-Ser". It matches the Rfam family "tRNA". Rfam says of the family: Transfer RNA (tRNA) molecules are approximately 80 nucleotides in length. Their secondary structure includes four short double-helical elements and three loops (D, anti-codon, and T loops). Lineage: Bacteria; Pseudomonadati; Spirochaetota; Spirochaetia; Spirochaetales; Spirochaetaceae. The record is from RNAcentral.
GGAGAGGUGCGAGAGCGGCUGAAUCGGGCUCCCUGCUAAGGAGUUGUGCGGGUGACUGCACCGAGGGUUCGAAUCCCUCCCUCUCCG